GACGAACGCUGGCGGCGUGCCUAAUACAUGCAAGUAGAACGCUGAAGAGAGGAGCUUGCUCUUCUUGGAUGAGUUGCGAACGGGUGAGUAACGCGUAGGUAACCUGCCUGGUAGCGGGGGAUAACUAUUGGAAACGAUAGCUAAUACCGCAUAAAAUUGAUUAUUGCAUGAUAAUUAAUUGAAAGAUGCAAUUGCAUCACUACCAGAUGGACCUGCGUUGUAUUAGCUAGUUGGUGAGGUAACGGCUCACCAAGGCGACGAUACAUAGCCGACCUGAGAGGGUGAUCGGCCACACUGGGACUGAGACACGGCCCAGACUCCUACGGGAGGCAGCAGUAGGGAAUCUUCGGCAAUGGGGGGAACCCUGACCGAGCAACGCCGCGUGAGUGAAGAAGGUUUUCGGAUCGUAAAGCUCUGUUGUAAGAGAAGAACGGGUGUGAGAGUGGAAAGUUCACACUGUGACGGUAUCUUACCAGAAAGGGACGGCUAACUACGUGCCAGCAGCCGCGGUAAUACGUAGGUCCCGAGCGUUGUCCGGAUUUAUUGGGCGUAAAGCGAGCGCAGGCGGUUAGAUAAGUCUGAAGUUAAAGGCUGUGGCUUAACCAUAGUAUGCUUUGGAAACUGUUUAACUUGAGUGCAGAAGGGGAGAGUGGAAUUCCAUGUGUAGCGGUGAAAUGCGUAGAUAUAUGGAGGAACACCGGUGGCGAAAGCGGCUCUCUGGUCUGUAACUGACGCUGAGGCUCGAAAGCGUGGGGAGCAAACAGGAUUAGAUACCCUGGUAGUCCACGCCGUAAACGAUGAGUGCUAGGUGUUAGGCCCUUUCCGGGGCUUAGUGCCGCAGCUAACGCAUUAAGCACUCCGCCUGGGGAGUACGACCGCAAGGUUGAAACUCAAAGGAAUUGGCGGGGGCCCGCACAAGCGGUGGAGCAUGUGGUUUAAUUCGAAGCAACGCGAAGAACCUUACCAGGUCUUGACAUCCCUCUGACCGCUCUAGAGAUAGAGUUUUCCUUCGGGACAGAGGUGACAGGUGGUGCAUGGUUGUCGUCAGCUCGUGUCGUGAGAUGUUGGGUUAAGUCCCGCAACGAGCGCAAUCCCUAUUGUUAGUUGCCAUCAUUGAGUUGGGCACUCUAGCGAGACUGCCGGUAAUAAACCGGAGGAAGGUGGGGAUGACGUCAAAUCAUCAUGCCCCUUAUGACCUGGGCUACACACGUGCUACAAUGGCUGGUACAACGAGUCGCAAGCCGGUGACGGCAAGCUAAUCUCUGAAAGCCAGUCUCAGUUCGGAUUGUAGGCUGCAACUCGCCUACAUGAAGUCGGAAUCGCUAGUAAUCGCGGAUCAGCACGCCGCGGUGAAUACGUUCCCGGGCCU
This 1369-nucleotide ribosomal RNA is filed under the name uncultured bacterium. RNAcentral's name for it is "bacterial SSU rRNA". It matches the Rfam family "Bacterial small subunit ribosomal RNA", at positions 28 to 1381 of the family's 1533-position model. The record is from RNAcentral.